AGAAAAACAUAAGUUUCGUCCAUGAUGAAUCCGUAGUAUACACCCCCCUCAGGGAGUGGCAGAAGAGUGGACGGAUUGAGAACUUGACAUCUUUGGAGGGUAAUGUUGUCAGGCAACAAAAGAUGACAUUGAAGGCGAAGAUGCCUGGCAGGAGUAACAUGCUUAAGCUGGACCUGGUUGACUAUGGCAGAAAUGUCAUGAGGGGCCAAGACAACCAGGGGGUGGCCAAGGACAACAUCCCCAGUUCUUUCAAUGAGCUCUCUGGCAGCAAAGACGGCCCGAAGGCAAGAGGGACGUCCUCUGGCCACAAUAUCCAGUUGGCAGGAGAAAAAUCCAAUAGGCCCUUGGCGGCCUCCAGGACCAUGGGCCUGAGUGAGUACUCCUGUUGCAUGGCCUUGUCUUUCAGAAACAAACAAUGUGAAGGGUUUGGUAUAGUCUGGUAGGCCAAGAGCAGGAGCAGAAGCAAUAGCACGUUUGAGAGAACAGAAGUUGUCAAGGGCUUCUGUGGACAAGCAUAAUGGGCCUGACUUGAGAGCAUCAUAAAGAGGUUGCAUAAGGAGCGAGGCUUCUGGGAUCCAUGCUCGGCAAUAGGAAAUGAGGCCUAGGAAGGCGUGUAGUGACUUCGAGGUCCUUGGAGGUGGAAUGUCCAGUACCGCUCUAACUCGGUCACGGGUAAGAUGUCUGGUUCCCUGAGACAGACAAUGGCCAAGGAAAAUAACAGUAGGUUGGCAGAAUUGCAGCUUGAGACGUGAAGCUUUACAUCCUUGUUCUGCUAGGUAGCAAAGAAGAUUAAGUGAGCAUUGUUCUGUUGUGGGUAUAUCAUCU
RNAcentral lists this long non-coding RNA (825 nucleotides) under Pelobates cultripes (western spadefoot toad). Lineage: Eukaryota; Metazoa; Chordata; Amphibia; Anura; Pelobatidae. The record is from RNAcentral.